UACGUAGGGUGCGAGCGUUAAUCGGAAUUACUGGGCGUAAAGCGUGCGCAGGCGGUUUUGUAAGCCAGAUGUGAAAUCCCCGGGCUUAACCUGGGAAUGGCAUUUGGGACUGCAAGGCUGGAGUGCGGCAGAGGAGACUGGAAUUCCUGGUGUAGCAGUGAAAUGCGUAGAUAUCAGGAGGAAUACCGAUGGCGAAGGCAGGUCUCUGGGCUGACACUGACGCUCAUGCACGAAAGCGUGGGGAGCAAACAGGG
Molecule: ribosomal RNA, 254 nt
Filed under: uncultured bacterium
Lineage: Bacteria
Description: partial 16S ribosomal RNA
Rfam family: Bacterial small subunit ribosomal RNA
Source: RNAcentral